GCCUGCCUCUACAGCUCAAUGCGAGUGAUAGCCAACAGUGGGUCUAUGAGUAUGACUAAGGUUGGACAUCACUAGGAUUUUAGUAGGCUCCCUCUGUUGGCAAAGGACACUCUAACCAAUGUCACAACUGGAUAAAUACAGUCCAGGAACCAUCUGCUCCAGCUGCUGACUAUUGCUCAUCGCUCUCUGUGAGUCUGUCUCUGCUCAUCAUAGACUGCUCUCCCCCAGGUACAGGAUCCAUCCCACCACUUGUUCUGUGAUAACGUGAAGAGUGGCCCAGCAACAGUCACCUGGGUGCACCCAGCUGUUCUUCCAAGGAGUGGUUAACCUGCUUGCUCUGGGCAGUUUCCUCUAAUCUUGCAAGGUUCGUGAGAGAAGGUGCAAAAGUUGAUGGUGCUCCGAACAUAAAGCAACAGUAUCUCCCCUCUGAUCCGACUCGCAGGCAGUAAAACAGUCUGGGUUUUAUUGUUACAGGAUGCAGUAGAGAACAUUCAAUAAUAACCUCAAACUGAUCAGAGAAAUAUUGAGCAUGAUAUUUCCUACAUACACAGGCUGCCCUUGGCUUCAUGAAAAUCUGCCCUGCAACAUGCCCACUCUCUGUGCUGCCAGAAACGCCUGGGCAACACAAGUUUGGGCAACGCAACUUUGAGCCAUUUUGAUGUUGCAAAUGGAUGCUAAGAUUUAUUUCUUGUUCUCAACUGGAUCUACAUAACUGCCCCAUAACAUAAGUUCUCUGGGCAGCCUGCAAAACACAUAUAACAAUUAAAAUGCAAUAUGAAACAGCACUGGGAAAGCUUUGGCCCUCCAGAUUUUGUUGGAAAAGAAGUCCUGACAUCCCUGACCAUCGGUCGUACUGCCUGGGGCUGAUGGGAGUUGGAGUCCAACAACUUUUCAGGACCUUGGGUCUGAUGAUGGGCCCCAUAACAUCGCAGCCGAAAAAUGUGGUUCCAAUUAGGGAACUGGCCAUGUGUCUCCUUGAGAUGAAUGAAAUGUAUCUGGUUGGCCCCUGUGAGAACAGCAUGCUAGAUUAGAUGGGCUAUUGGCCUGUUCCAGCAGGCGGUUCUUGUGUUCUUAUCCCCAGCUCUCUUCAUUCACACAUGAUGAAAUCCUAAGCAUAUUUACUAUGAAUAAGUCUCAGUGAGCAUAGCUGGACUUUCAAGGAAACAUAAGUAGGAUCUGGCUGUUAGUUAAAGCAGUGGUUCCCAAUUAGGGGUCCGGAGAAUACACCCAGGGGGUC
Podarcis raffonei (Aeolian wall lizard) is the source of this 1237-nucleotide long non-coding RNA. RefSeq lists it as uncharacterized. The transcript is spliced from 3 exons. NCBI's taxonomy places the organism in Eukaryota, Metazoa, Chordata, Lepidosauria, Squamata, Lacertidae. The record is from RefSeq and is a predicted model, not a curated record.